UUUGCUAUCAAGGUUAUCUCUUUUAUAUUAAGUAUGUUAUAUAUUUAUGCAUUGUCUUUUGAUAUUACACUUUAUUUGUAGCUAUAUGUGGGAUUUGACUUCUAAAACCCACAUAUGGUCCUUAUCUGAUUUUGUCCUUAAAAUCGGGUAUUACAUAGUAAAAAGUAAAUGUGUGGCUCAAAGUCUAGCAAGCAUGUAUAUAUGGCUGUGGUAGGAUUUCAAACUCUCAUCAUACAGGAAGUCAUCAUGUACUAUUUUAAAUAUUUUAAAAGAUAAAAUUCUCUAGAAUUCUAGCAUCUCUAGGAAGAGAUAAACAGCAGCUCAAUCUUCCCAUAUCAUAUCCGUUAACAACUUAGACUUCAGAUCAAGUUCUCUUCCCACAAGUUCAGAUUUAGUGCAAGCUUUAAAUUAUAACAGUUAUGUCUAAACUAGAGAGAAAACUUAAAUUUGAAAAUUAGGCAGAGCAACUAUUCAUCAUAUCCAUGCUAGAGUUUUAUUAUUAAGAUUCAGUUUAGCAUAGCCACUUUGUUUAUUUAUUAAGCACACUAAGCAAAAGAUAUAUAUAAGCACAAAAUCUUUAUUUGGUUUUUCAUAGUAAUGUAUAUUUUAAUAUAGUAUGAGUAUAUAGAUAGAUAGAAAUACUUAUCGGGAUAAAUGGGGGUGCUCUCCCCCAACCUGAAUUUUGACGUAAUUUCUUUUUUAUGUAACUAGCAGGUGGCAGAGGUGUAAUUGAAAGUCGGUGGUACCCUGACAGCGAUUAGGAUGUCCUCCAUCUGCUAGUCUUCUUUGAUCCUUAAAUUCUGUGGAGCUCAAAUAGACAACAAAGCUUUGUGGAACUGAUUAAGUGUUAGCAUAAAUAUCUAGCCUUUAUCAUGUCGAGACUCCUCAAUAAAUGUUACUCUCUAUUUUUAUAUUUUCAUUUUUAUAAAGUAGAAAAAAUUAUUUAUUUUAUUUUUAUGCCACCACGGUGAAUGUACUUAUGGGUUUUAUGCCACUUGUAUACUCACAUGGGGCUUACUAUUUUUUUAACAUUUUUAUUUUCUUUUUAAAAUGAUAUGAAUAUGAUUAACUAAGCAAACUAUUUUAAAUAAUUGAAAGAAAAAGGAUAACUACCAAGUUUACUCUCCGUUUUCUUAGUCGUCCUGGGAUUCGUUGGGUGGCGUAGUCGGUGCUUCCAGCGGCGCCUCCUCUUCGUGUAUAGUUAUCUUCUCUUUCCAUACCAGACUCGGUGCUACGGACUCCUCAGGAUAAUCUUGUUCAAGCUAUAUGUCUUCAGACCUUACUACUUCUUCUUCAUAGUCUGCCCAUCCGUCCUUGAUGAUUUGCCUCUUCUGGUUGCGGUUGCAUCGUCUUCUAGCGGCGUACCUUCUCUGAGGAGAAGUGCAUAUGGACUUCUCCAAUUCCAAUAUAGAUGAUUGCUUUAACGGUGCUGAGAAACGGUCUUCCAAGGAUGACGGGUGGAUCGUAUUUGUCUUCUCCCAUGUCAAUAACCUGAAAGUCUGUGUAGACAAAAUGAUCGUCUAUUUUGACAGGGACAUCAGUUACUAUACCUUUAACCUCUCGAAAUGUCUGAUCUGCCAUAUGGAGCCGAACAAGAGCCGAUAGGUGACUGCGGCCAUUAUGUUGACGCCUGAUCCGGUGUCGCAAAACGUCUUGUAGAAGUUGUACCCAUUGAUGGAGCAAUAGAUGCUUGGCAUACCUAGGUCGUCCUUCUUGGUCAGAAACGGUGACUUGAGUUGAUGAUCUUGACCUCCAUGAACUGCAGUGACCAUCUUAGCUGACUUGGUUCACACUUGCUUGUUCCUGUUCCUCCUGUUGGUCCUCUUCCUUGGUUCAUGUCGGGAUUGUUCUGGGAUUUGUGUACUCUUUUUCUUGAAGGAAAACGUCUCCUUUCUCCCUUUGAUGUAGAAACUGAUCUUGGCAGCACUAGCAUAGAUGACAGCUCCCGAGGUGUUUAAGAAUGGCCUCCCUAAGAUGACGGAUGCCCUCUCAUCAUUACUGGUCUCUAUCACCACGAAGUCUGCUGGGGCGUACAAGGUACCAACUCGGACACAGAGGUUCUUCAAUAUUCCUUUUGGGAAACUUAACGUCUGAUCUGCAAACUGCAAACACAUGGUUGUUUCUAAUAAAGGAUAUGUAAAGAAUUU
RNAcentral lists this long non-coding RNA (2147 nucleotides) under Sorghum bicolor (sorghum). RNAcentral's name for it is "long non-coding RNA (SBIC_LNC015698)". Lineage: Eukaryota; Viridiplantae; Streptophyta; Magnoliopsida; Poales; Poaceae. The record is from RNAcentral.